AUCAUUGAUAAUUUGUUCUCCUGCUUGUUUUUCUUCGUCUCACAUUUUGGUUCUGGUCACCCAGGUUGAGGAAACCUCACGAGAACGAGAAGAGAGACUGAAAACCUGGUCCUCUUUCCUGAGUGAUGAGAGUGCAUCUGCCAAAGCUAAAGCAGACUCUUCAAAAGCAGCUGAACAACAAAAUUCCAGCACACAAGAAACAGCAGAACAGACUCGACAGGAGGAACAUACAAACGAAAGCACUGCAGAACCGCAAGAGGGGAAAGAUGAGAAGGAUGAGAAGGAGCAUGACGAGGAUGAUGGAGAACAGAGUGUUAAAGCGCUCAGAGGACUGUAAAGAUCCUCCUCAGCUCUUUACAUACUAUCAAGGCGACAUCAACACUGCAGUGGAUGAGCACUUUUUCCGUGCCCUGAAUAAAGCAACCACACCAAAAGACCUCAGUACUAAAGCCAAGGACAGCAAUAGGACUCCCAAAUCUGGUGCGUUAAUCUGUCUGUUUGUCUAUCUAUCCAUCUGUCUGUCUAAUGCAUUUCUUAUCCCAGAUGUACCAUCAUCAUCAUGGGCUUCUUCUGGCCUAACAUGGCCCAAGUCCACACACUCUUCCGGUUCCUCAAAGCUGACCCAAUUGACAUCCAUGGAACCUACACCUCCAUCCCAGGGAGUUAUUGUGAAUCCCUCAGUACUAUCAUCAUCAUCGUCAUCCCUCUGGCCAUGUCCAUCCAGACAGGGCACAGCAUUCGAACUGCCUCAAAUACUCUACCAACAGCCCAUAGCUGCUGAGAGCAGUGCCAACUCUUACCUGAACCUGUUACAAAUGGAUCGGCCAACAGGGGGCAUCAUGAUCUCGCCCUUCUCAAAAUCAGACACCAGACCAGAGUGGAAUACUGGGACGGCCUUUAAGGAUGGAAGCAGGAUCGGCCUAGAUUCAGGUGUGCCUGUCUCAGAAAUACCUAAGGAUUUGUACUGGUAUUGAAGAAGCGAUUUCUGGCUCUAUGAUCAAAAAUAUAUUUUCAGCACAAGACUGACUGUGUUUACAUUAUUAUGUAAGCUUAAGAAUUCUGUGCUUUUGGACAUCUGGCAUAGUGACUCAAAACAUUAUAUUCAUGGUAUCAGACAUUCCUCAGAGAUAAAUGGCAGUUAAUUACUUAUUUUAGCCGUGAGCAUGUGAAGAAUCUUGUAGUAGGACAUAAGAUAAUACCUGAUUGAAAAUAAUUAACUUCUCUUAACUAUUUAAUGGGUGAAUGAGGAAGUAACGUCUAUUUGUAUGAUUUGUAAUACAAUUAUAGUUUUACAAAACCUACUUUACACUUUUUCCCUCAAGCAGUGAUGUAUUUCCCUGUCACAAGCCCUCACUUUUGAUGUAUGAGUAUGACAAAACAGCUAAAGUCUUUGCACAAAACAGCUAAAGGCUUUGAUGAAUUUCCUCAAUUAUUUUCAAGAAUAGUAUAAAGAAGUCUAUUUUCAGUAUGAAUAGAGAGGUGAUCUGUUUAAUAAAUCCUACAUGAAAAUUGUCCUUUUGUUCAUACUUUACACAUUUAGACAUUUUCAGCAGGUCUGCAGUUAUACAUUUUUCUUUUUUGUGUUUUUAUUUAUCCACCUUAUUUUUCCCGUAAGAACGGCCAUUUGUACAUUUUAUGGGUCUGGCGUCUGGUGUCAUUCGCUUCCAGCUACAAAACAGUUUGUUUUGCUGCUUGAUAUUGCAAAUCGGUGUGUCUUACCAUAUUAUUUUAAUGUACUAUCUUUAUUAUGAACACACUGGUUUGUAGUGCAAAGAGUUUUACUGUUUAUUCACAGAAAAUGGCUUACUUUCGCAUUGAAAAAUAAGGUGGAUACUUCAUAUUAAUUUCAUUUUUAUUUCACUUCCUUGACAGUCUGUUGUUCACUGGUAUGUUAGGUUUAGCUUUUUACCUUGUUUUUAAAAGACCACUACAAAAAAAUAAAGAAAAAAGUCUGCAUUCUGUAUCUUCUGAUCAAAGCAUAGAUUUGCAUUUAAAGGAGACAUUUCUUUGAGGAUAAAGACUCAACUAUACAUCAAGACUGCCCACACAUUUCUGCAAACUAACCUCACGUGCCUCUGUUUCAAAGUUCAGAAGUGAGAGACAAUGUCUGCUGAGCAACGAUGCCAAAAGGGGAUUCGUCUCCCGUUUCCUUUGGCUGCCCACAAACCUUAAAGCGGCAUAGCCUAACUAUGCACAGAGAGCCAUUAAAUGCAAUGUGUUUUAAAUAUAAAAUAAAUAUAAAUAUAAAAUAAAUACAUUAUAUUUUUUAAGAAAUAAAAAUGUAAUAUUUUUAUUAUAAUAAUUGAAUAUAAAUUUAAUAAUUACAAUAUAUGUUUGCCUGAUUGCUGCAUGUUGUUUCUUCAUGUGCGUUUGUCUUUACCAUCUUCCUCUCACAUCCCUAGAGUGUAUUUGUGAAUGAAGAUAAGAUUUGAGAUGUUCUCAGAGCAUUUACCCUAGUCCAAUAAAGAUUUAAAUGAAAGCUGAAUUAAAAGAUGUUUUCAUUUGGUUAAACUGUUAGCAGUGAUCUCAAGCAUGCUA
Molecule: long non-coding RNA, 2538 nt
Filed under: Sinocyclocheilus anshuiensis
Lineage: Eukaryota; Metazoa; Chordata; Actinopteri; Cypriniformes; Cyprinidae
Description: lncRNA (ENSSANG00000030444.1)
Source: RNAcentral